UCGGGAAUUUUGGGCAAUGGGCGAAAGCCUGACCCAGCAACGCCGCGUGAGGGAUGAAGUAUUUCGGUAUGUAAACCUCGAAAGAAUGGGAAGAAUAAAUGACGGUACCAUUUAUAAGCUCCGGCUAACUACGUGCCAGCAGCCGCGGUAAUACGUAGGGAGCAAGCGUUGUUCGGAUUUACUGGGCGUAAAGGGCGCGUAGGCGGCGCGGUAAGUCACUUGUGAAAUCUCUGAGCUUAACUCAGAACGGCCAAGUGAUACUGCUGUGCUAGAGUGCGGAAGAGGAAACCGGAAUUCUUGGUGUAGCGGUGAAAUGCGUAGAUAUCAAGAGGAACACCUGAGGCGAAGGCGGGUUGCUGGGCCGACACUGACGCUGAUGCGCGAAAGCCAGGGGAGCAAACG
RNAcentral lists this ribosomal RNA (402 nucleotides) under uncultured bacterium. RNAcentral describes it as "bacterial SSU rRNA". It matches the Rfam family "Bacterial small subunit ribosomal RNA", at positions 355 to 774 of the family's 1533-position model. The record is from RNAcentral.